Molecule: ribosomal RNA, 451 nt
Filed under: uncultured bacterium
Lineage: Bacteria
Description: partial 16S ribosomal RNA
Rfam family: Bacterial small subunit ribosomal RNA
Source: RNAcentral
GUGGGGAAUAUUGGACAAUGGGGGGAACCCUGAUCCAGCCAUGCCGCGUGUGUGAAGAAGGCCUUUUGGUUGUAAAGCACUUUAAGUGGGGAGGAGGCUUACCUAGUUAAUACCUGGGCUAAGUGGACGUUACCCACAGAAUAAGCACCGGCUAACUCUGUGCCAGCAGCCGCGGUAAUACAGAGGGUGCGAGCGUUAAUCGGAUUUACUGGGCGUAAAGCGCGCGUAGGUGGUUAAUUAAGUCAAAUGUGAAAUCCCCGAGCUUAACUUGGGAAUUGCAUUCGAGACUGGUUGGCUAGAGUAUGGGAGAGGAUGGUAGAAUUCCAGGUGUAGCGGUGAAAUGCGUAGAGAUCUGGAGGAAUACCGAUGGCGAAGGCAGCCAUCUGGCCUAAUACUGACACUGAGGUGCGAAAGCAUGGGGAGCAAACAGGAUUAGAAACCCCGGUAGUCC